Oncorhynchus tshawytscha (Chinook salmon) is the source of this 741-nucleotide long non-coding RNA. The record is from Ensembl. Lineage: Eukaryota; Metazoa; Chordata; Actinopteri; Salmoniformes; Salmonidae.
GAGGGGUAGGUAGUGUUAGUACUUGAUGUUCAUUGGUGUGUGUGUGUACAUGUUUAUGUGUGUUGAAUGCAUACUGCUUGUAGGUUAUCUUGAUAGAGGGGUAGUUAAUGUUAGUACUUGAUGUUCAUUGGUGUGUGUGUGUACAUGUUUAUGAAUGCAUACUGCUUGUAGGUUAUCUUGAUAGAGGGGUAGGUAAUGUUAGUACUUGAUGUUCAUUGGUGUGUGUACAUGUUUAUGUGUGUUGAAUGUGUACUGCUUGUAGGUUAUCUUGAUAGAGGGGUAGGUAAUGUUAGUACUUGAUGUUCAUUGGUGUGUGUACAUGUUUAUGUGUGUUGAAUGUGUACUGCUUGUAGGUUAUCUUGAUAGAGGGGUAGUUAAUGUUAGUACUUGAUGUUCAUUGGUGUGUGUACAUGUUUAUGUGUGUUGAAUGUGUACUGCUUGUAGGUUAUCUUGAUAGAGGGGUAGUUAAUGUUAGUACUUGAUGUUCAUUGGUGUGUGUGUGUACAUGUUUAUGUGUGUUGAAUGUGUACUGCUUGUAGGUUAUCUUGAUAGAGGGGUAGUUAAUGUUAGUACUUGAUGUUCAUUGGUGUGUGGGUGGUUUUGCCUGAGGACUGUACAGUGCUACUAUGUUACAUUCUCUGACCGUUGCUUGUUAAUUCCUCUUUGGAUUCACAACACCCCUUUAUGGUAGAAUGGAGUAGGAGGUGUAGUGAGAGAUGCUGUAACUUCAUGUUCUGACCC